RNAcentral lists this ribosomal RNA (253 nucleotides) under uncultured bacterium. RNAcentral's name for it is "partial 16S ribosomal RNA". It matches the Rfam family "Bacterial small subunit ribosomal RNA", at positions 524 to 776 of the family's 1533-position model. The record is from RNAcentral.
UACGGAGGGGGCGAGCGUUAUUCGGAAUUAUUGGGCGUAAAGGGCGCGUAGGCGGCUGUGUAAGUCAAAGGUGAAAUCCCUCGGCUCAACUGAGGAACUGCCUUUGAAACUGCUCAGCUUGAGGCCGGGAGGGGGUGGUGGAAUUCCCAGUGUAGCGGUGAAAUGCGUAGAGAUCGGAAGGAACGUCAAUGGCGAAGGCAGCCACCUGGCAUAAUACUGACGCUGAGGCGCGAAAGCAUGGGGAGCGAACAGG